CAAAAUCCCUCCCAUUCUCCUUUCCCCCACCUACCCCUCUCUCUCUCUCGCACGCGUCCUCGGUUCCCCAGUGCGCCGCUCGCCGACGUGCAGUCCAACGGCGGCCGCAUUCACCGCCUCCACGCACUGAGCGAGCUUCAUCUUGGUCCCCUCCACCGGAUCCCUACCCGCGCGGCCGCGCCCCUCCUUUCCGCCCUUGAGCACGACGACGCGACUAACCCUAGCCGUGGGGUUCGUCACGGUCGCGAGCCCUCACACGGCGCCUUCCUACCCAUCUCGUGCGGGGGCCUGCGCUGCACCCCGUCGUGGCCGCCCUCUCGUCGACAACUAACGGAGCCUCCUCUCCCUUGAGCCCGAUCCGGAGCGUGUUAACGGCGUGGCCUGCGCUAGCUCGAUCCCGAGCACGAUGGCGUUGGUGACAUGGUGCCUCCCCGACCACCAGCGACCCCGAGCUCGUGGUCCCUCUUCAGCGGCAGCGAGCAGCGCAGCCCGCGCGGAGUAUCCAGGGGGGCGAGUAGACAAGCAUCAGCGCAGAUCCUUGGGGAUGGGACAUAGUGAGGUGGGGUUGUGUUGGUGGCCACUAAGAGCUUCAAUUUUUCACCUACGUGCACCUACUCAACCUGAAGGUCUUCAGAUGACAUUUUUGUUUAUGAGUCAAGCUGUAGGAUCUCAAUAGCGGCGACCUAACAGCCUCAGUCUACGAUCUGCAGGUCUUCAAACUACUACACCUCCAUAGGACCAAGAUAUAAGGAUGACCGUAAAUGCACCCAUCUAAUUGUUGAAGCUUUAGAUCCCAGUGGAAAGAUAUCUUUGGCUCAAAUUUCUCGAAAGCUUACACAGCUAGGCCUCAGGAAUUCCAAGAAGAGGACAAAAGUUCCAGAGGCACCUCUCUCAGCUGAAGACCUAGCUACACAACCACAAAACCACGCGCUAGAUGAUCCUAAGCCAGAGAGUACCCGGCGCUGAAGGAAAAGGUUACUUGGGUUAAGCAGUAAUCAUGACAACAGCUCUAGUCAUCCAAUAUCAUCUGAUGAAGAAACACUGCAAGCACUUAAGAGCAGAUUCUACCAGAAGCUUCACUUCCGCUGGCCUGCUGCCGAUGUUCCCAGUCGGCCACACCCCCAAACAGCAGCAACACAAGUACACCUGAUGGAUUUUACUAUGCAUCGGCUAGCACAGAUAUGUCUAUUCUAACCUAUGAAGGCUUCAGGUGGUUCAGUAAUGCUGAAAAAGGAUGGUAUGUGGCUUCUUUAUGUUUUCAGCUGUUUGGAAUAAUACAUCUACCACGUAUUUGCAAACCGGGGAUUUAAAAGAUAUAGAGUUGUACCAUGUUAUUUUGCACAAUGAAUACUAAUUGAGUGUUCCCGUUCUUCCCACCUAUGCAUGAAUGCUUGGUUUUUUCACAUGUGUUAUGCCAAAAUUGCAUUGUCAUUGACAAGAUUUGAGGCGAGGUAUAAAUGAUGCUUCGUUGCUUAAAGUCUACUACUAUAUACUUUUUCCUAUAGACCCAAGUUUUCUGUAAUGCACGACCUACUUUUUAGCCACUUUAAGCAUGGUUAAUGUCUUCAAUUUAUACCACCCCAUUGGUGAGAACCAACAUAGCAUGGUUAAGCAAACCUCCCUAAUUCUUAUUCAUCUGCUCAGUUAUGUUAUAAUACAUUGAAAGGAUAAAGGGAGCCUUAACUGUCUAAUGACCCUGUUUAACUGUCUAAUAUAUUUCCUGUAAUAGAAUUUGCUGUAACAAAGCAUGGUUAAGAUAAAGGGAGUUAUGUUAUAAUUCUCUUGAGGUUUCGCUCUCUAUGUAUAUUUCGAUACAAGGUAUUGUUCGAGGAAAAAAAAAAUUCUUUAAGCCAUUAUGUUCAGUUUUGGACUAUUACCUGUGUAGAACCAGCUGAUAUUUAGUUGCUGCAAAUGAUUUUUUGUGUACUGUAAUAGAAUUUGCUGUAAUAUCUUUCCUGUAAUGAAAUGCUUAUGCCUCAAAAUCACUUGAUGUUUGUUGAGUUGGUGCUUCCGGAGGACUAGAAGCACCACAAGCUAAAACAUGAGGCCCAAUAAACAGGGUCAUCGAGUACCAACCAGUGCCUGAGCUCACUGGUUUUUACUAUAAAUAUAUAUACUUUCUAUUCUGUAUACCAAGGUACCUAUGUACUUGGUAAAUUUAAUGUGUUCCUACUUACUAGUUGCUGCAAUUUGAUUUUAUUUUCGCAAUGGGUAAGAAACAUCGCUACUUUUGUCAUGUUUGGUCUGUGUCUGUUUAUUCUAGAUAUGAUGGUACUGUGCUGACAUUGGAGGAACAAGCAGCAAAUCGGGAACAAAUGAGGAAAAUUGAGAACCCUGUUGGAGUAAGAUGGAAGCCAGUUAGAUGAACCCUGUUAGAUGAACCUUGUUGUGUAUUUUAUCUAAUGGUUUCGAACCAUGUUGUUCAUGAUGUGGAGAUGGACCCUAUUGGUCAUGUAAAUUAGAUGCCUCGAUUGUGAACCCUUGAAUGUUUCAGAAUGUUGGUUUGAGACCUAGACUGCUUGAAAAUAUUGUUAAACAUUGUUUGACUUCUUGA
Molecule: long non-coding RNA, 2554 nt
Organism: Lolium perenne
Lineage: Eukaryota; Viridiplantae; Streptophyta; Magnoliopsida; Poales; Poaceae
Source: RefSeq, a predicted model, not a curated record